GCCGCAGUAUUUUAACUGUGCAAAGGUAGCAUAAUCAUUUGUCUUUUAAUUGGAGACUAGUAUGAAUGAUUGGAUGAAAAAUAAACUUUUUUUGUUUUAUUUUAAAUAAUUUUCUUUUUUAGUUAAAAAGCUAAAAUGUUUUUAUUAGACGAGAAGACCCUAUAGAACUUUAUUUAAAUAUUAAUGACUAAAAUUAUAUAUUAUUUUGUUUAUUUAUUAAUAUUUAAAUUUUGUUGGGGUGACAGAUAAAUUUUAAUAACUUUAUUUAGAAUUUUUUCAUUAAUUAAUGAUUUUUUUGAUCCAUAUUUAAUGAUUAUAAGAUUAAGUUACCUUAGGGAUAACAGCGUAAUUUUUUUGGAGAGUUCUUAUUAAUAAAAAAGUUUGCGACCUCGAUGUUGGAUUAAA
RNAcentral lists this ribosomal RNA (405 nucleotides) under Amphiareus ruficollaris. RNAcentral's name for it is "partial 16S ribosomal RNA". The record is from RNAcentral. Lineage: Eukaryota; Metazoa; Arthropoda; Insecta; Hemiptera; Anthocoridae.